UUGUGGAGUGUUGUUCUAAUUGGUUUUGUUUUUUUGGAUUACUUCUGACAGGUGAAACUUUGGUUAUGAGCUCACUGAGCAGUGCAGAUCUGGAACCUGAAAUAUCUGAGCGGAAAACUUCACUGUCAAGCCACUUCAGGAUUAAAUUGUUGAAGCAAUGAAGCUAAGGAGUUAAAGGUGAACGAUGAAACUUUUCAACUGGUACAAUAGUGCUCUUUCUUUAAGAUAAUAAGUUCAAAACUAUGAUUAUAUCUUUGAUUGGACUACAAAGAAGUUUGCAAGUCCCCCACCAUCAUAACAUUUUCCACCUAUGUUCAGCACGGUGUAACUUUUAGGCUUUUUGCUAGUUUUCUGUACAACAAUACUGAUGCUUAUUGUUGUGGGUGUCACAAGCAAAAGAAGUUUCUACUGACAUUGUAACUGGAAUUUCAUGCCCAACAUUCUUAUAAAUAUUCUAGAUUCAGUCCUUGAUGAUAUAGAAUUUUCUUACUAUUCACAUUUUGGUAGCUUCUUGUACCUGUAGCAAGUGUGAAUCUCUGAAGUUCUGUUGAACCAUAUGUCCUUGUGAAGAUGGUUUUAUCAGGCAAUCAUUUUCUCAGUGGUAAGUUUUAGGGGAUAAAAAAUACGUGAUAUUACUUGAUAUUUUCUCACUUAACCAGGUGAAUCUGGUAUCUCUUGUUUAUGAAGUGUCAUGCAAUCUUGAAUCCGUUAGGGGGAAGCCUCUAAGUCACUCUUUGGUGUGAAUAAUAACCUGCACACCCAACCAUGUUCCCAUCAGACGUGAUAUUAUUUGAAUUUUUUCUAAUUUUCCACUAUAUUCCUUGACAUCCUUGUGGGGACAAAUCUAUUUUUGGUAGAUCUCAUGAGAGACGAAUGAUGCUACAAUGGCAGCUCCACCCUCUUGGAUGCUCUCACUGAGAUAUAUAUACGAGUACUUCCCUGCUGGAUCUACUAAUAUCUACAUCUGCUGUUCUAGGUGAGCUGAGUACCAUUAUUGUUGCUACUUUGUGUUGGCUUUGUCUGCUUUGUCUGUGAAAUGCUUGGGAUUUUCCAUUCACGGAGUCAGUAUUGUAGUAUCAAACAGCUAUGAUGUAAUUAACAGCUAUGAUUAUUACAUCAGCACCUGUGUUAGGACAAAUAAGUUGCACGAAUAAUGCAUAUCUGUUGCUAAUAUUAGAAGGAGACUUGUAAAAAUCUUUUUAGUUGUUUGUUUACAUAUCAGUUGCAAAUAACCCAAGUAUAUCUUAAAAUGCUUCAUAAUAAUUUAUAUAAGAUCAGGUGUAAUAGUUUGACAAGGCAACUAUUGAGUUUGUUUGCUUCACUAGACCUGACCUGACUUUGAUUACUCCACCAGGCUCAAAUCUUUUGCAUGCCAUAGAACUUUGGAUACAAUAGCUUAGAUUGUCUUGUUCAUAAUCAACGAGUUAAGACUGGUAUACAUGAACUUGAUGGGCAUGCUAUGAGUAACUUGAAAGCAUAUUGAACCACUUGGUCAAAGGCCCAAGAACCCAGUUAUUGGAUUAGUAGGUCUAUGGAAUUGCCAAUUGUUAUUGCAUUGGUCGGAAAUGAUCUUACAUUGUGUGUUGGUCUUGAGGAGGUCGGAAGUGGGGAAAUGAUGAUGGGUGUGAUAAACAUGAUUUCUAUGAUGCUUUAAAGUUAGAAAUAAACUGUUUUGUUAUGUACCAUGCUAGCUUUGUCUUUAAUUAUAUGAACAUAACUAUUUUAGUGUAUGGAAUCAUUCAAAGUUGGUUUCUAUGUUGCUUGAGUUAGAUUACUCUUGAAUAUUCAGCAAUGAGAUGGAGCAUCCAAAUGAAGUGUCAACCUUUUCUUUAGAUCAGGUGAGUCGAGCCACAUGCACUGAGGCACCUUUGGUUUUCAUGGUUCGGAAAACAUGUCUUGCAAAGUCUAGACCACUGCAGAGCAUAUAUGGUUUUAAAUAUUUAAAUCCUUGUAAGAUUUUGUUUACAAUAUCCAUUAAGUUCUUGCAAAAUUAUUUUCUUCUAUUUUCUUUUGAUUGUUAAGUUUUUCUCCUGCAGGUGUUAUGACGGCUCUGGCAAUUGAGACAGAGUGUAAAUACUUCUGAACAGAUGCUGCGAGGAUCAAAGCAAGGGAGCCAUUGGAUACUCUGAAAAGAGGUCGUCUUCUAUCUUCUUCUUCCUCUGAAAACAGGCAAUUGGAGCGGUCGUCUGGAUGGUAAUCUAAUUGUGUUCUUGAAUACUUUGCAGCGCAUUUCCAAAACCUUUGAGGUUGAUAUCUGCCAGCAACAGUGAAAAGUUCUUGGUAUGUACUUUGGAGUGAAACAGAGGAAAAGGCACAUCGAUUGGAGCACUCGCAACGGGGAAGAGCUCGUCGCAAGCAGAGGUCGAAUUCUUUGCAAUGGCAAGCAGAGAUUCAUGUGGAGAAGAAUCAGACCCCUUUUCCCUUCUGCUAAUUAAUUUAUCUGACUUGUACGAACAUCGAUGGUGAUUUCCAUGAUAUGUUGUUGGAUUCUAAUAUCAUGAAACAUGAAAUGUCAAGCAAGCUAUAGGAAAGUCGAACGACUCCCUCAUAACGAUAAUAAUAAUAAU
This 2567-nucleotide long non-coding RNA is filed under the name Musa acuminata (dwarf banana). Its description in RNAcentral is "long non-coding RNA (MACU_LNC001566)". The record is from RNAcentral. Lineage: Eukaryota; Viridiplantae; Streptophyta; Magnoliopsida; Zingiberales; Musaceae.